GACGAACGCUGGCGGCGUGCUUAACACAUGCAAGUCGAACGGAAAGGCCCCUUUGGGGGUACUCGAGUGGCGAACGGGUGAGUAACACGUGAGUAACCUGCCCUUGACUUCGGGAUAACUUCAGGAAACUGGGGCUAAUACCGGAUAGGAAUCCUUGCUGCAUGGUGGGGGUUGGAAAGCUUCGGCGGUUUUGGAUGGACUCGCGGCUUAUCAGCUUGUUGGUGGGGUAGUGGCUUACCAAGGCUUUGACGGGUAGCCGGCCUGAGAGGGCGACCGGCCACAUUGGGACUGAGAUACGGCCCAGACUCCUACGGGAGGCAGCAGUGGGGAAUAUUGCACAAUGGGCGGAAGCCUGAUGCAGCAACGCCGCGUGCGGGAUGACGGCCUUCGGGUUGUAAACCGCUUUCAGCAGGGGCGAAGCUUGUGGUGACGGUACCUUCAGAAGAAGCACCGGCUAACUACGUG
This 465-nucleotide ribosomal RNA is filed under the name uncultured bacterium. RNAcentral describes it as "partial 16S ribosomal RNA". It matches the Rfam family "Bacterial small subunit ribosomal RNA", at positions 28 to 507 of the family's 1533-position model. The record is from RNAcentral.